GGGCCGGUGGUCUAGCCUGGUUAGGAUACCGCCUUGACAUGGCGGGGGUCAGGAGUUCGAAUCUCCUUCGGCCCA
Molecule: transfer RNA, 75 nt
Filed under: Thermoproteota archaeon
Lineage: Archaea; Thermoproteati; Thermoproteota
Description: tRNA-Val
Rfam family: tRNA
About the family: Transfer RNA (tRNA) molecules are approximately 80 nucleotides in length. Their secondary structure includes four short double-helical elements and three loops (D, anti-codon, and T loops).
Source: RNAcentral